UGAGGGGGGGGGAAAUGUUUUGCUAAUAUGAAAUUUGUACAAUUCUUGAGAAGCUUUAAUGCAAAUAUGCUGUGGAGCUGGGACUCUAAACUUGCCCUCUGGUCAAAAGGGGCUUUUUGCUGUCCCCAUUAAAAAUCUCCUCCUCCCCUCCCCUCCCAUGGUUCAGUUGUAAGCCUCUGAAAUUGCUGUUUGCAGAUGUUCAGUGGAGGUUUGCUAAAAGUCUGGCAGCUAAAUUCUCUGAAGAUUCUGUCUGCACUGAGCAUGCUCAAGCCCAGUUUUUCCCUGCAAUUGCUCCUGUUUGUUGAAGUAGAGGCUACUCUGCCACACUGGCUACUGGAACUGAAAGCAGGGAGACUCUGUCCUCUGCUCUCAAGGGAGGAGAAGGAAGAAGCAACCUGACUGCAGUGCAGGCAGCUGAGGAGCUGGAGGUACAGGGAUAGGCUAGGGGGAGCAGAAGUAGAGAUGGAAGGGAAAUGGGGACAGGCUGAUGGGGGCACAAGCUAGGGAACAGGAGCAGAGGGGGCAUAGAUGGGUAGAAGAAUCCCUAGCUACUAUGGUUGGAACACUGCUGCAGAACCUGGAAUUGAACCCCAAUUUGCGAGCCUCGGCAUUCCUCUGCUGUCUAGCUAUAAAACCUAUUGGCAAAGUGGACCAGCCAAUAGAAGGGAGUGGAACACACAGAGGCUAGAACCUCCUCCUGCUAUCAGUUAAUCCAUUAGUUCAAGUGGCCAGGUUCUGUGCUGUGAAUCUUCUGUGCUGUGAUAUAAUCCACUGGGGGGAGGGUGUUCAAAAUCCUUCCUCAUGAUGGAAUUUCUAUUUUUUCAGCUUCAAUUUUUAAAAGUUUGGGAAGUUACAUGCAAAAUAAAUUCCAUUAAAAGUAUGUUAAAGUUGCACAGUUAAAAACUCAGAAGUUAGAAAAUGCAAAAUAUAAGAUGGCCUGUUCAACUUUAAUUUGUUCCCUUUGUGCAACUGGCUCCACUUCCCCUUACUCGUGUCCACCCCACAUCCCCUCAGCAUUCCCCAUCCUCAGCCUGCUAAGAAACAUCUUCUCACCCUAACCCUCCAGGCCUACUCUGGCUAAGAAUCCCCCUCCCACCUGUCCCCCCCAGACUGAGACCCCCCCUCUUUUCAUCUAGCCUCACCACAGCUCUGGAAUUUCUCUCACCAUGCAAACACAGCCUGCCCCCCACCCGCCCACAACUCAGUCUCAGAACUCUUCCUCCUGAAACCCUUCCCUCUGUACCAGCUCAGAAAGCUUCUACUGAUCUGACUUGGCCCCACAGAGGAUACCAGGAACACUGCUGGACAGGGAACCAGGAUCACAGGAACCGAACCCUCACAGGGCCAGGAACACGGGAACUGCCAAGAGGAGCCACCAGCCAGGAGCCACCAAUGGGAAUGGAGAGCUUUAGGAACAGUUGGGGAGGAGAGGACAUGAAUGAACAUUGAGAAGAGUCAGCACAGCUUUUGUAACAGGAAACCACGCCUCAUCAAUCUAUUAAAAUACUUUGAGGGGGUCAACAAACAUGUGGACAAACGUGAUCCAGUGGAUAUGCUGUACUUGGACUUUCAGAAAGUCUUUGACAAGGUCCCGCACCAAAGAUUCUUAAGCAAAGAAAGCAGUAAUGGGAUAAGAGGGAAGGUCCUCUCGGUAACUGGUUAAAAUAUAGGAAACAAAGGGUAGGAAUAAAUGGUCAGUUUUCAGACUGGAGAAAGGUGAAUAGCGGGGUCCCCCCAGGACCUAUACUGGGACCAGUGCUGUUCAACAUAUUCAUAAAUGAUCUGGGAAAAGGGGUAAACAGUGAGGUGGCAAAGUUUUCAGAUGAUACAAACUUACUC
This is a long non-coding RNA of Chrysemys picta bellii (western painted turtle), 1839 nucleotides long. RefSeq lists it as uncharacterized. Lineage: Eukaryota; Metazoa; Chordata; Testudines; Emydidae. The record is from RefSeq and is a predicted model, not a curated record.